CUGCUAUCGGAUUGAUACUAAGCCAUGCGAGUCAUUGUAGCAAUACAAGGCAGACGGCUCAGUAACGCGUAGUCAACCUACCCUAUGGACGGGAAUAACCUCGGGAAACUGAGUAUAAUGCCCGAUAGAACAUUAUGCCUGGAAGGGUUUAUGUUCCAAAUGAUUUAUCGCCGUAGGAUGGGACUGCGGCCUAUCAGUUUGUUGGUGAGGUAAUGGCCCACCAAGACUAUUACAGGUACGGGCUCUGAGAGGAGUAGCCCGGAGAUGGGUACUGAGACACGGACCCAGGCCCUAUGGGGCGCAGCAGGCGAGAAAACUUUGCAAUGUGCGAAAGCACGACAAGGUUAAUCCGAGUGGUUUCUGCUAAAGGAACCUUUUGUUAGUCCUAAAAACACUAACGAAUAAGGGGUGGGCAAGUUCUGGUGUCAGCCGCCGCGGUAAAACCAGCACCUCAAGUGGUCAGGAUGAUUAUUGGGCCUAAAGCAUCCGUAGCCUGCUCUGUAAGUUUUCGGUUAAAUCUGUAUGCUCAACAUACAGGCCGCCGGGAAUACUGCAGAGCUAGGGAGUGGGAGAGGUAGACGGUACUCGGGAGGAAGUGGUAAAAUGCUUUGAUCUCUCGAUGACCACCUGUGGCGAAGGCGGUCUACCAGAACACGUCCGACGGUGAGGGAUGAAAGCUGGGGGAGCAAACCGGAUUAGAUACCCGGGUAGUCCCAGCCGUAAACUAUGCAAACUCAGUGAUGCAUUGGCUUUUGGCCAAUGCAGUGUUGCAGGGAAGCCGUUAAGUUUGCCGCCUGGGAAGUACGUACGCAAGUAUGA
RNAcentral lists this ribosomal RNA (819 nucleotides) under uncultured marine group I thaumarchaeote. Its description in RNAcentral is "SSU rRNA". It matches the Rfam family "Archaeal small subunit ribosomal RNA", at positions 27 to 852 of the family's 1478-position model. The record is from RNAcentral. Lineage: Archaea; Thermoproteati; Nitrososphaerota.